Molecule: small nucleolar RNA, 109 nt
Filed under: Octodon degus (degu)
Lineage: Eukaryota; Metazoa; Chordata; Mammalia; Rodentia; Octodontidae
Description: Small nucleolar RNA SNORA25 (ENSODEG00000021180.1)
Source: RNAcentral
AGGACCCUAGGCAAGUGGGGCAAAGCCAAGAGCUUGUGACCAGACAUCGAAGGUCUCCGUAGGGUGCCACAGUCACUCAAUAGGGCUAUUUUCCUAAAGAGGCAGAAAU